GACGAACGCUGGCGGCGUGCUUAACACAUGCAAGUCGAACGGAAAGGCCUCUUCGGAGGUACUCGAGUGGCGAACGGGUGAGUAACACGUGGGCAAUCUGCCCUGCACUUCGGGAUAAGCCUGGGAAACUGGGUCUAAUACCGGAUAGGACCUCAAGACGCAUGUCUUCUGGUGGAAAGCUUUUGCGGUGUGGGAUGGGCCCGCGGCCUAUCAGCUUGUUGGUGGGGUGACGGCCUACCAAGGCGACGACGGGUAGCCGGCCUGGGGGGGUGUCCGGCGAGACUGGGUAGGAGAGACACCCCAGAGUGCUGCUGGAGGCAGCAGUGUGGAGGAUUGCAGAAUGGUCGCAAGCCGGGUGCAUCGACGCCGCGUGGGUGAUGACGGCCUUCAGGUUGUAAACCUCUGUCACCAUCGACGAAGGGCCGGGUUUGCUCGGAUUGACGGUAGGUGGAGAAGAAGCACCGGCCAACUACGUGCGAGCCGCCGCCGUAA
This 492-nucleotide ribosomal RNA is filed under the name uncultured bacterium. RNAcentral's name for it is "partial 16S ribosomal RNA". It matches the Rfam family "Bacterial small subunit ribosomal RNA", at positions 28 to 523 of the family's 1533-position model. The record is from RNAcentral.